This 236-nucleotide ribosomal RNA is filed under the name uncultured bacterium. Its description in RNAcentral is "partial 16S ribosomal RNA". It matches the Rfam family "Bacterial small subunit ribosomal RNA", at positions 118 to 347 of the family's 1533-position model. The record is from RNAcentral.
UGAGCAAUCUGCCCUUCUCAUCGGAAUAAGCGUUGAAACGACGUCUAAUGCCGAAUACGACCUCCUUUCGCAUGAUCGGAGGUGGAAAGCUCCGGCGGAGAAGGAUGAGCUCGCGGCCUAUCAGCUAGUUGGUGUGGUAAUGGCCCACAAGGCGACGGACGGGUAGCCGGCCUGAGGAGGGUGACCCGGCCACACGUGGGACUGAGACACCGGCCCAGACCUCCGUACGGGAGCAG